This 468-nucleotide ribosomal RNA is filed under the name uncultured bacterium. RNAcentral's name for it is "partial 16S ribosomal RNA". It matches the Rfam family "Bacterial small subunit ribosomal RNA", at positions 28 to 507 of the family's 1533-position model. The record is from RNAcentral.
GACGAACGCUGGCGGCGUGCUUAACACAUGCAAGUCGAACGGAAAGGCCCUGCUUUUGUGGGGUGCUCGAGUGGCGAACGAGUGAGUAACACGUGAGUAACCUGCCCUUGACUUUGGGAUAACUUCAGGAAACUGGGGCUAAUACCGGAUAGGAGCUCCUGCUGCAUGGUGGGGGUUGGAAAGUUUCGGCGGUUGGGGAUGGACUCGCGGCUUAUCAGCUUGUUGGUGGGGUAGUGGCUUACCAAGGCUUUGACGGGUAGCCGGCCUGAGAGGGUGACCGGCCACAUUGGGACUGAGAUACGGCCCAGACUCCUACGGGAGGCAGCAGUGGGGAAUAUUGCACAAUGGGCGGAAGCCUGAUGCAGCAACGCCGCGUGCGGGAUGACGGCCUUCGGGUUGUAAACCGCUUUCGCCUGCGACGAAGCGUGAGUGACGGUAAUGGGUAAAGAAGCACCGGCUAACUACGUG